AGUGAACGCUGGCGGUAGGCCUAACACAUGCAAGUCGAACGGCAGCAUAGUAAGAGCUUGCUCUUACGGGUGGCGAGUGGCGGACGGGUGAGGAAUACAUCGGAAUCUACUUUUUCGUGGGGGAUAACGUAGGGAAACUUACGCUAAUACCGCAUAUGACCUACGGGAGAAAGCAGGGGUUAUUCGGACCUUGCGCGUUUGUAUGAGCUGAUGCCGGAUUAGCUAGUUGGCGGGGUAAAGGCCCACCAAGGCAACGAUCCGUAGCUGGUCCGAGAGGAUGAUCAGCCACACUGGAACUGAGACACGGUCCAGACUCCUACGGGAGGCAGCAGUGGGGAAUAUUGGACAAUGGGCGCAAGCCUGAUCCAGCCAUACCGCGUGAGUGAAGAAGGCCUUCGGGUUGUAAAGCCCUUUUAUUGGGAAAGAAAAGCAGCAGGUUAAUACCCCGCUGUUCUGACGGUACCCAAAGAAUAAGCACCGGCUAACUUCGUG
This 492-nucleotide ribosomal RNA is filed under the name uncultured bacterium. RNAcentral's name for it is "partial 16S ribosomal RNA". It matches the Rfam family "Bacterial small subunit ribosomal RNA", at positions 29 to 507 of the family's 1533-position model. The record is from RNAcentral.